Molecule: ribosomal RNA, 437 nt
Filed under: uncultured Staphylococcus sp.
Lineage: Bacteria; Bacillati; Bacillota; Bacilli; Caryophanales; Staphylococcaceae
Description: bacterial SSU rRNA
Rfam family: Bacterial small subunit ribosomal RNA
Source: RNAcentral
AGCGAACAGACGAGGAGCUUGCUCCUCUGACGUUAGCGGCGGACGGGUGAGUAACACGUGGAUAACCUACCUAUAAGACUGGGAUAACUUCGGGAAACCGGAGCUAAUACCGGAUAAUAUAUUGAACCGCAUGGUUCAAUAGUGAAAGACGGUUUUGCUGUCACUUAUAGAUGGAUCCGCGCCGCAUUAGCUAGUUGGUAAGGUAACGGCUUACCAAGGCAACGAUGCGUAGCCGACCUGAGAGGGUGAUCGGCCACACUGGAACUGAGACACGGUCCAGACUCCUACGGGAGGCAGCAGUAGGGAAUCUUCCGCAAUGGGCGAAAGCCUGACGGAGCAACGCCGCGUGAGUGAUGAAGGUCUUCGGAUCGUAAAACUCUGUUAUUAGGGAAGAACAAAUGUGUAAGUAACUAUGCACGUCUUGACGGUACCUAAUC